GGCUCGUUGGUCUAGGGGUAUGAUUCUCGCUUUGGGUGCGAGAGGUCCCGGUUCAAAUCCCUGGGACGAGCCC
RNAcentral lists this transfer RNA (73 nucleotides) under Hippoglossus stenolepis (Pacific halibut). RNAcentral describes it as "tRNA-Pro". It matches the Rfam family "tRNA". From Rfam's summary of the family: Transfer RNA (tRNA) molecules are approximately 80 nucleotides in length. Their secondary structure includes four short double-helical elements and three loops (D, anti-codon, and T loops). Lineage: Eukaryota; Metazoa; Chordata; Actinopteri; Pleuronectiformes; Pleuronectidae. The record is from RNAcentral.